This 2457-nucleotide long non-coding RNA is filed under the name Ornithorhynchus anatinus (platypus). RNAcentral describes it as "lncRNA (ENSOANG00000042990.1)". The record is from RNAcentral. Lineage: Eukaryota; Metazoa; Chordata; Mammalia; Monotremata; Ornithorhynchidae.
CACUGUCCCAAGCUCUGAGGUGGAUCCAAGCAAAUCAGGUUGGACAUAGUCCCUGUCCCAUGUGGGGCUCACAGUCUUCAUCCCCAGUUCACAGAUGAAGUAACUGAGGCUCAGAGAAGUGAAGCUAUUCGCCAAAGGUCACACAGAGGUAGAACCCGUGACCUUCUGACUCCCCGACCCGUUCUCUAUCCACUGUGCCACGCUGCUUCUCCGAGUGACCUGCGCAAGGUCACACAGCUGACAAGUGGCAGAGCCGGGAUUAGAACCCAUAACCUUCUGAUUCCCAGGUCCGGGCUCUCUCCGCUAGGUGGAAUUUCUCAGGGGAUUCUGGGAGAGCCAUUAUGAACCUGCAGCAUUACCCCAGAAAUUCCCAGAAGGCAAUAUCCGGGUAUACCGUUUUGGCUGACGGGACCAUUGCGACUUUCUUCCGGGAGCCUCCGAUAAGUCCUCUGCAUGAGUCACGGGGCAACUCUGUCACCGUUGGCCAGAUUCUGGAGCAGGGAGCUGACACAGUAACCCAAAUCCAGCUCACCCGCCGAUGAUGUCACGCAGUUUGAAAAGCUAUAUUCCUUGCACCCGCUCUGUACCUUUCCUACAUCACGGAGAACCGAGAUGAAAUCGAUGUCGGCUGGUUGAAAAUUGAAGCGCAAUGAAAAGAGAAAUCUAAAUGUUGGAACGUUCUGUACCGAGGAGACAGUCUUGUGCAACGAAUAUACCCGGUGUUCUCCUUAACUGGUCUCAGGAAAUCCAUUUUGAUGAGAGGAUUUCAAAUGUAAUGGAUCGAGUCGGACCACUCCGUCAAUCAAAGUAUUUCUUGAACGCCUUCUGUGUCCAGAGCCCUGGGCUCUGCACCUGGGAGAGUACGAGAGAAUCGGCAGACUGGUCCUCCCCCUGGAGAAGCUUACAAUCUAGUGGGAGAGACAGACGUUAAGAAACAUUGCAGAUAGGAGAAACAAGGAAAAGAGCCCUCCCUCUCGUUUCCUCUUCGUGGGACAAAAAUGACGAAGACAGGCGAUUUUUGAAUCCGUCUUCAGAGGCUUCGCGGUCCAAUAUCUGAUGAGGUUGCAAAAGCGACGUUCCUAAAUAUCUGGACCCGAUCCAUGAUGAUCUGCAAUCUUCAUCAUGAGGGUUAGGCGGAAACCCAAGGGUCAGCAGGGGAGGGUUCGGCAAAUCCCAUCCUCUCCUCGCCCCCUCGUCGCCAUGAAUUCCAGGACCUGCAUUCCUGAGAGAUCUGUUUCCCAGGAGAGUCAUCUGUUAUUCGCUCCAGAGCUGGCUAAUUGAAGAUUGCAUCUACGGCUUGGCAGGUCUCUUCGACCCAUAAACUCUGAGCUGUCCCGUUCUCUAGGCUUGCUUCAAGAUGGCUGGGGCUCCAACUCAUUCUGCUUUCUUCCAAAGUUUGGGGUUAAAUUAGAGCGGCGCAGAUAUUGGAUCCUGGAGCAGAACCAGUUACGUACCCUUUGAAGGAGGAUUAGGAGAACUCAAGUCCUUCCUUGCAGGGUGGGAGGAAAGAUGAAAAGAGAAGGUACCGACAGAAUGUUGGACCUUCGUCAGCACCUUGGUGAUGAUUUCACUUUGUUCUCCCUGGUAUCUUCUCUCGCUCUAGGAUGUUCAUCAAAGUCUCAAUCCUCAGCACAGUGCUUACCACGAGGUGAAAGUCUCUCCCCAUAAGAAACGAUGGAUGGACUUCGGUUCAGUCAUUUCCUGGGCAUUUGGGCAAGAGGGACAGAGCUUUGGUGCUUAGUUUGAAAAACCUCUUAGGUUUUGGGGUUUUUUUAUGAUAUUCGUUAAGUGCUUACUCUGCGUCAGACGAUGUACUGAAUGCUGGUGUAGAUACAAGUUAAUCCGGUCGGUUUCGGUCCACGUCCCACACGGGGCCGACAAUUUUAAUCCCCAUUUUGCAGAUGAGGUACCUGAAGCCCAGAGAGGUGAAGUGACUUGCCCAAGGGCACCCGGCAGACAAGGGGCAGAGCCGGGGUUAGAACCCAGAUCUUUCUGACUCCCAGGCCCUUUGUCUAGCCACUAGGCCUCGCUGCUUCUCUGUUUCCACGCUCCCUCUGCCCAAUUUUCAGAGAGAUAGGUGUGAACUGACAGUUAUGUAUUGCUUUGCAAGGUUCCCAGUGAACUGAAAAUCCCAGCCAGGUUAGAACAAACAUGCUAUAAGCAAAGAAUAAUUUAAUCACUUACUUGCCUCCGGGGCUGGUAUCUCGGGAAAGAAGGAGACUCGUGUGCCAGCCUGUAUUAAAGCAGAUGAUUGGCUCGAAGCUGGUCGUGAGCUGUUUCCAGGAGCCUGCAGCAGAGACCACCAAACUUGUACAUGUCCAUGGAUUCCUGCCCGAGGCAAUCAACCGUUUCCAUCAAAUUCACUCUCUGUUUGACCCAGGGAGGGAGGGAGAGAGGGAAGAGCCAAAAAACUCGGUCAGUUUUUUGCAAGUCAAUCCCAGCUGUCUUGGGCUAAGC